RNAcentral lists this ribosomal RNA (492 nucleotides) under uncultured bacterium. RNAcentral describes it as "partial 16S ribosomal RNA". It matches the Rfam family "Bacterial small subunit ribosomal RNA", at positions 30 to 507 of the family's 1533-position model. The record is from RNAcentral.
AUUGAACGCUGGCGGCUUGCUUUACACAUGCAAGUCGAACGGUAACAGGCCUUCGGGUGCUGACGAGUGGCGAACGGGUGAGUAAUGCAUCGGAACGUACCCAGAGGUGGGGGAUAACGCAGCGAAAGCUGUGCUAAUACCGCAUGUGAUCUGAGGAUGAAAGCGGGGGACCGAGCAGCAAUGUUUGGCCUCGCGCCUUUGGAGCGGCCGAUGUCGGAUUAGCUAGUUGGUGGGGUAAAGGCCUACCAAGGCGAUGAUCCGUAGCUGGUCUGAGAGGACGACCAGCCACACUGGGACUGAGACACGGCCCAGACUCCUACGGGAGGCAGCAGUGGGGAAUUUUGGACAAUGGGCGCAAGCCUGAUCCAGCAAUGCCGCGUGCGGGAAGAAGGCCUUCGGGUUGUAAACCGCUUUUGGCAGGAACGAAACGGUGUCCGCUAAUACCGGGCGCUAAUGACGGUACCUGCAGAAUAAGCACCGGCUAACUACGUG